CAAAAAUAACGAUACGGCACUCAUCCGAGGCCCCGUAAUCGGAAUGAGUACACUCUAAACCCUUUAACGAGGAUCAAUUGGAGGGCAAGUCUGGUGCCAGCAGCCGCGGUAACACCAGCUCCAAUAGCGUAUAUUAAAGUUGUUGCGGUUAAAAAGCUCGUAGUCGAAUUUGUGUCCCGCGCCGCCGGUUCAUCGCUCGCGGUGUUAACUGGCGUGUCCGCGGGAACGUCCUGCCGGUGGGCUUAGCUCUCGGGCGGCCCAAUCUCAAUCCCACCGCGGUGCUCUUUACUGAGUGUCGAGGUGGGCCGGCACGUUUACUUUGAACAAAUUAGAGUGCUUAAAGCAGGCUAAAAUAUCGCCUGAAUACUGUGUGCAUGGAAUAAUGGAAUAGGACCUCGGUUCUAUUUUGUUGGUUUUCGGAACCCCGAGGUAAUGAUUAAUAGGAACGGAUGGGGGCAUUCGUAUUGCGACGUUAGAGGUGAAAUUCUUGGAUCGUCGCAAGACGGACAGAAGCGAAAGCAUUUGCCAAAAACGUUUUCAUUGAUCAAGAACGAAAGUUAGAGGUUCGAAGGCGAUCAGAUACCGCCCUAGUUCUAACCAUAAACGAUGCCAGCUAGCGAUCCGCCGACGUUCCUCCGAUGACUCGGCGGGCAGCUUCCGGGAAACCAAAGCUUUUGGGAUCCGGGGGAAGUAUGGUUGCAAAGCUGAAACUUAAAGGAAUUGACGGAAGGGCACCACCAGGAGUGGAGCCUGCGGCUUAAUUUGACUCAACACGGGAAACCUCACCAGGCCCGGACACCGGAAGGAUUGACAGAUUGAGAG
RNAcentral lists this ribosomal RNA (822 nucleotides) under Helictopleurus fissicollis. RNAcentral describes it as "SSU rRNA". It matches the Rfam family "Eukaryotic small subunit ribosomal RNA", at positions 472 to 1254 of the family's 1831-position model. Lineage: Eukaryota; Metazoa; Arthropoda; Insecta; Coleoptera; Scarabaeidae. The record is from RNAcentral.